UGAGGAAUAUUGGUCAAUGGGCGCAAGCCUGAACCAGCCAUCCCGCGUGCAGGAAGACGGCCCUAUGGGUUGUAAACUGCUUUUCCAGGGGGAGAAUUUUUCUGUCGUGACAGGAAUUGACGGUACCCUGGGAAUAAGCAUCGGCUAACUCCGUGCCAGCAGCCGCGGUAAUACGGAGGAUGCGAGCGUUAUCCGGAUUUAUUGGGUUUAAAGGGUGCGUAGGCGGAUUGAUAAGUCAGUGGUGAAAACCUGCAGCUUAACUGUA
Molecule: ribosomal RNA, 265 nt
Filed under: uncultured bacterium
Lineage: Bacteria
Description: partial 16S ribosomal RNA
Rfam family: Bacterial small subunit ribosomal RNA
Source: RNAcentral